AGCCAAGUUGAUGGAAUCAGGAGAUGGAGACGGAGCCAGAGGUAAACUUGGUUUCUUCUUUGAUUUAGUGGGUGCUGGUGCGGGUACCUCAACCGGCAGAGAAGGCGCGGGUGUAAUCGUUGUUGGUGCAGGAGUGGGUGGUGUCGGUGGUGAACUCACUGGUGCAGAAAUAGGUGUUACGUUAGUAGUGGGAGGAGUGGCUGGUGCUGCGGUAGUGGUUGGAGAUGCAGCCGGCGUUGUGAUGGAAGAAGUAGUUGGAGCAGUGGCCGUGGGUGGUUGAACUGCAGUUACAUUAGUAGUAGGAGGAGUGGCCGUGGGUGGUUGAACUGCAGUUACGUUAGUAGUGGGAGGAGUGGCCGUGGGUGGUGGAACUGAAGUGGUUGUUGUUGUGGUGGGAGCAGUUGCGGUGGCAGUUGGAGGAGGGGAAGCUGGAGAAGGUGAGGUUGUAGGAGAAUCUGCGGCGGAGGUGAAUACGGCGGCGUCGUGCAAGGAGGCAAUGAUGGAAAGAAGAAAAACAACGGUGAGGAUUGAUCGGUGAGUCAUGAUGUUCGUCUGUGAUUAAUCUCGCUUGUUGAGAAAGUGAAUAGAAGAAGA
RNAcentral lists this long non-coding RNA (594 nucleotides) under Zostera marina. Its description in RNAcentral is "long non-coding RNA (ZMAR_LNC003719)". The record is from RNAcentral. Lineage: Eukaryota; Viridiplantae; Streptophyta; Magnoliopsida; Alismatales; Zosteraceae.